RNAcentral lists this long non-coding RNA (468 nucleotides) under Eutrema salsugineum. Its description in RNAcentral is "long non-coding RNA (ESAL_LNC001870)". The record is from RNAcentral. Lineage: Eukaryota; Viridiplantae; Streptophyta; Magnoliopsida; Brassicales; Brassicaceae.
AGCAAUAAAUCUCCACAAGUUCUUCUCUCUCUCAACUCUUUCACAUUCAUUAAGCUUUUAUCAGGUGGAUCUCAUGAUGCAAUAUUUAAACAAGCUGGCUUGGCUAGGGAGAGGCUAUGAGAUUAAAAUGAUCUCAUCAGUGUUCAGGUGGGUUAAAUGCAGCAAAGGGAUCUCUCUAUGAAUGAUCAAACUUUGGCAGAAUGCUAAAGGUAAAAAGCAACCUAUGCAUACAAGGGCAAAGACUCAUCACACCCCACCCUCUACUCAAAGCUUCCUCACUUGCUCAAAAAUCCUCACUUUUCACUCUCAUUUUCCUCUCACUAGGGGAUUCACUUUUCACUUUUCCUGUUAAGUCUUGGAACUCAAACUUUACACAGCUCUUUUUCUUUUACAACUUCUAGCCUCUUCUUUCUUUCUUAACAAAACAUUUGAGCCUUUGGCUUCUUUUCUUCCUCUUUUUUUUUUUUU